AUGAACGCUGGCGGCGUGCCUAAUACAUGCCAGUCGAGCGAACGGACGAGGAGCUUGCUCCUCUGACGUUAGCGGCGGACGGGUGAGUAACACGUGGAUAACCUACCUAUAAGACUGGGAUAACUUCGGGAAACCGGAGCUAAUACCGGAUAAUAUAUUGAACCGCAUGGUUCAAUAGUGAAAGACGGUUUUGCUGUCACUUAUAGAUGGAUCCGCGCCGCAUUAGCUAGUUGGUAAGGUAACGGCUUACCAAGGCAACGAUGCGUAGCCGACCUGAGAGGGUGAUCGGCCACACUGGAACUGAGACACGGUCCAGACUCCUACGGGAGGCAGCAGUAGGGAAUCUUCCGCAAUGGGCGAAAGCCUGACGGAGCAACGCCGCGUGAGUGAUGAAGGUCUUCGGAUCGUAAAACUCUGUUAUUAGGGAAGAACAAAUGUGUAAGUAACUAUGCACGUCUUGACGGUACCUAAUCAGAAAGCCACGGCUAACUACGUG
Molecule: ribosomal RNA, 496 nt
Filed under: uncultured bacterium
Lineage: Bacteria
Description: partial 16S ribosomal RNA
Rfam family: Bacterial small subunit ribosomal RNA
Source: RNAcentral